This 397-nucleotide ribosomal RNA is filed under the name uncultured bacterium. Its description in RNAcentral is "bacterial SSU rRNA". It matches the Rfam family "Bacterial small subunit ribosomal RNA", at positions 139 to 518 of the family's 1533-position model. The record is from RNAcentral.
GGGACGAACAGUUAGAAAUGACUGCUAAUACCGGAUGAUUCAUAUUUAGAUAACUAGAUAUGCUAAAAGGAGCCUUUAAAGACUUCACUUUGGGAUGAGCUUGCGGCGCAUUAGCUAGUUGGUAGGGUAAUGGCCUACCAAGGCAACGAUGCGUAUCCGAGCUGAGAGGCUGAACGGACACACUGGGACUGAGACACGGCCCAGACUCCUACGGGAGACAGCAGUUAGGAAUAUUCGUCAAUGGGGGAAACCCUGAACGAGCAAUGCCGCGUGAGUGAUGAAAGGUCUUAUUGAUCGUAAAACUCUGUUGUAAGAGACGAAACCACAGUAUAGGAAAUGAUACUGUGCUGACGGUAUCUUACCAGAAAGCCCCGGCUAACUACGUGCCAGCCGCCGC